UACAGAGGGGGCAAGCGUUGUUCGGAAUUACUGGGCGUAAAGGGCGCGUAGGCGGCCUUCUAAGUCGAACGUGAAAUCCCCGGGCUCAACCCGGGAACUGCUUCCGAUACUGGAAGGCUAGAAUCCGGGAGAGGGAUGUGGAAUUCCAGGUGUAGCGGUGAAAUGCGUAGAUAUCUGGAGGAACACCGGUGGCGAAGGCGGCAUCCUGGACCGGUAUUGACGCUGAGGCGCGAAAGCCAGGGGAGCAAACGGG
This 253-nucleotide ribosomal RNA is filed under the name uncultured bacterium. RNAcentral's name for it is "partial 16S ribosomal RNA". It matches the Rfam family "Bacterial small subunit ribosomal RNA", at positions 524 to 776 of the family's 1533-position model. The record is from RNAcentral.